Molecule: ribosomal RNA, 253 nt
Filed under: uncultured bacterium
Lineage: Bacteria
Description: partial 16S ribosomal RNA
Rfam family: Bacterial small subunit ribosomal RNA
Source: RNAcentral
UACGUAGGGUGCGAGCGUUAAUCGGAAUUACUGGGCGUAAAGCGUGCGCAGGCGGUUUUGUAAGCCAGAUGUGAAAUCCCCGGGCUUAACCUGGGAACUGCAUUUGUGACUGGCGGGCUAGAGUAUGGCAGAGGGGGGUAGAAUUCCGCGUGUAGCAGUGAAAUGCGUAGAGAUGUGGAGGAAUACCGAUGGCGAAGGCAGCCCCCUGGGCCAAUACUGACGCUCAUGCACGAAAGCGUGGGGAGCAAACAGG